This 486-nucleotide ribosomal RNA is filed under the name uncultured bacterium. Its description in RNAcentral is "partial 16S ribosomal RNA". It matches the Rfam family "Bacterial small subunit ribosomal RNA", at positions 30 to 507 of the family's 1533-position model. The record is from RNAcentral.
AUUGAACGCUGGCGGCAUGCCUUACACAUGCAAGUCGAACGGCAGCACGGGUGCUUGCACCUGGUGGCGAGUGGCGAACGGGUGAGUAAUACAUCGGAACAUGUCCUGUAGUGGGGGAUAGCCCGGCGAAAGCCGGAUUAAUACCGCAUACGAUCCACGGAUGAAAGCGGGGGACCUUCGGGCCUCGCGCUAUAGGGUUGGCCGAUGGCUGAUUAGCUAGUUGGUGGGGUAAAGGCCUACCAAGGCGACGAUCAGUAGCUGGUCUGAGAGGACGACCAGCCAGACUGUGACUGAGACACGGCCCAGACUCCUACGGGAGGCAGCAGUGGGGAAUUUUGGACAAUGGACGAAUGCCUGAUCCAGCAAUGCCGCGUGUGUGAAGAAGGACUUCGGGUUGUAAAGCACUUUUGUCCGGAAAGAAAUCCUUGACUCUAAUACAGUCGGGGGAUGACGGUACCGGAAGAAUAAGCACCGGCUAACUACGUG